Molecule: long non-coding RNA, 334 nt
Filed under: Homo sapiens (human)
Lineage: Eukaryota; Metazoa; Chordata; Mammalia; Primates; Hominidae
Description: HSALNT0076816
Source: RNAcentral
GUGCAUAAAUAACUACAAAACCAGGCUGACUUUGAUAGACUCAUCAAGUGCUUAGGCCAGGAAACUUACAGAAGGGAAGGAGUAGUUCUAAAUGCUGGGAUCUGGAAAAGUACUUUGGAAUUGGUGCCAUCUGAGGUGAAGCUGGAAGGAAGCUCCUUUUCAAAAAGCAGUCCCUCAGUGAGCUCAUCUGCUCUCAGGAAUUCAUCCAUUGCUGCUGUGCGGAUGCUUCAAAGUCUAACCACAUGAACCAUCAGUUACCAGCCAUCUACUACCUGAUGAAAGGGAGCAAAAGCGAACACAGGGCCCUCAUCUUGAAAAAUGCACCAACUUCCAG